Molecule: ribosomal RNA, 2486 nt
Filed under: Burkholderia pseudomallei NAU2B9
Lineage: Bacteria; Pseudomonadati; Pseudomonadota; Betaproteobacteria; Burkholderiales; Burkholderiaceae
Description: bacterial LSU rRNA
Rfam family: Bacterial large subunit ribosomal RNA
Source: RNAcentral
UCUGAAGAUGGGGGGACCAUCCUCCAAGGCUAAAUACUCGUGAUCGACCGAUAGUGAACCAGUACCGUGAGGGAAAGGCGAAAAGAACCCCGGGAGGGGAGUGAAAUAGAUCCUGAAACCGCAUGCAUACAAACAGUCGGAGCCUCGCAAGGGGUGACGGCGUACCUUUUGUAUAAUGGGUCAGCGACUUACGUUCAGUAGCAAGCUUAACCGAAUAGGGCAGGCGUAGCGAAAGCGAGUCCGAAUAGGGCGUUCAGUUGCUGGGCGUAGACCCGAAACCAGGUGAUCUAUCCAUGGCCAGGAUGAAGGUGCGGUAACACGUACUGGAGGUCCGAACCCACUAACGUUGAAAAGUUAGGGGAUGAGCUGUGGAUAGGGGUGAAAGGCUAAACAAACCUGGAAAUAGCUGGUUCUCUCCGAAAACUAUUUAGGUAGUGCCUCGUGUCUCACCUUCGGGGGUAGAGCACUGUCAUGGUUGGGGGGUCUAUUGCAGAUUACCCCGCCAUAGCAAACUCCGAAUACCGAAGAGUGCAAUCACGGGAGACAGACAUCGGGUGCUAACGUCCGGUGUCAAGAGGGAAACAACCCAGACCGCCAGCUAAGGUCCCCAAAUAUGGCUAAGUGGGAAACGAAGUGGGAAGGCUAAAACAGUCAGGAGGUUGGCUUAGAAGCAGCCACCCUUUAAAGAAAGCGUAAUAGCUCACUGAUCGAGUCGUCCUGCGCGGAAGAUGUAACGGGGCUAAGCCAUAUACCGAAGCUGCGGAUGCGAGCUAGUCUCGCAUGGUAGGAGAGCGUUCCGUAAGCCUGCGAAGGUGCGUUGAAAAGCGUGCUGGAGGUAUCGGAAGUGCGAAUGCUGACAUGAGUAGCGAUAAAGGGGGUGAAAGGCCCCCUCGCCGUAAGCCCAAGGUUUCCUACGCAACGUUCAUCGGCGUAGGGUGAGUCGGCCCCUAAGGCGAGGCAGAAAUGCGUAGCUGAUGGGAAGCAGGUCAAUAUUCCUGCACCGUCGUUAGAUGCGAUGGGGGGACGGAUCGCGGAAGGUUGUCCGGGUGUUGGAAGUCCCGGUCGCUGCAUUGGAGAAGGCGCUUAGGCAAAUCCGGGCGCAGGAUUCAAGGGUGUGGCGCGAGCUCCUUCGGGAGCGAAGCAAUUGGAAGUGGUUCCAAGAAAAGCCUCUAAGCUUCAGUCUAACGAUGACCGUACCGCAAACCGACACAGGUGGGCGAGAUGAGUAUUCUAAGGCGCUUGAGAGAACUCGGGAGAAGGAACUCGGCAAAUUGGUACCGUAACUUCGGGAUAAGGUACGCCCUGGUAGCUUGACUGGCCUGCGCCAGAAGGGUGAAGGGGUUGCAAUAAACUGGUGGCUGCGACUGUUUAAUAAAAACACAGCACUCUGCAAACACGAAAGUGGACGUAUAGGGUGUGACGCCUGCCCGGUGCCGGAAGAUUAAAUGAUGGGGUGCAAGCUCUUGAUUGAAGUCCCGGUAAACGGCGGCCGUAACUAUAACGGUCCUAAGGUAGCGAAAUUCCUUGUCGGGUAAGUUCCGACCUGCACGAAUGGCGUAACGAUGGCCACACUGUCUCCUCCCGAGACUCAGCGAAGUUGAAGUGUUUGUGAUGAUGCAAUCUACCCGCGGCUAGACGGAAAGACCCCAUGAACCUUUACUGUAGCUUUGCAUUGGACUUUGAACCGAUCUGUGUAGGAUAGGUGGGAGGCUAUGAAACCGGAACGCUAGUUUCGGUGGAGCCGUCCUUGAAAUACCACCCUGGUUUGUUUGAGGUUCUAACCUUGGCCCGUGAUCCGGGUCGGGGACAGUGCAUGGUAGGCAGUUUGACUGGGGCGGUCUCCUCCCAAAGCGUAACGGAGGAGUACGAAGGUACGCUAGGUACGGUCGGAAAUCGUGCUGAUAGUGCAAUGGCAUAAGCGUGCUUAACUGCGAGACCGACAAGUCGAGCAGGUGCGAAAGCAGGUCAUAGUGAUCCGGUGGUUCUGUAUGGAAGGGCCAUCGCUCAACGGAUAAAAGGUACUCUGGGGAUAACAGGCUGAUACCGCCCAAGAGUUCAUAUCGACGGCGGUGUUUGGCACCUCGAUGUCGGCUCAUCUCAUCCUGGGGCUGUAGCCGGUCCCAAGGGUAUGGCUGUUCGCCAUUUAAAGAGGUACGUGAGCUGGGUUUAAAACGUCGUGAGACAGUUUGGUCCCUAUCUGCCGUGGGCGUUGGAAGUUUGAAGGGGGCUGCUCCUAGUACGAGAGGACCGGAGUGGACGAACCUCUGGUGUACCGGUUGUGACGCCAGUCGCAUCGCCGGGUAGCUAUGUUCGGAAGAGAUAACCGCUGAAAGCAUCUAAGCGGGAAACUCGCCUUAAGAUGAGACUUCCCCGGGGACUUGAUCCCCUUGAAGGGUCGUUCGAGACCAGGACGUUGAUAGGUCGGGUGUGUAAGCGCAGUAAUGCGUUCAGCUAACCGAUACUAAUUGCCCGUACGGCUUGAUCCU